RNAcentral lists this long non-coding RNA (445 nucleotides) under Oryza brachyantha (malo sina). RNAcentral's name for it is "long non-coding RNA (OBRA_LNC003338)". Lineage: Eukaryota; Viridiplantae; Streptophyta; Magnoliopsida; Poales; Poaceae. The record is from RNAcentral.
GGCCACGUGGCACCGUCCGUUGAUCUAAGAACGUAGCCUGCCCAUGUCUGUCUUGUAGUAGCUAUAUAUAUAUAUAUAUAUAUUACUUGCACCCAAGUUUUCAAAAGUGAUCCAUAGUCCAAUGGAUGGAAUGGUUAGCUCUCAACCGGAAGGUUUUACUUGGCUUUUGUCCCAGCGAGCACAUCCAUAAUUAGCGCAUGUUCCAAAUUAAUUGUAAAUACGACGUUAGCGAGCAAAGAUAUUUCUACAUAUAAAUAUUUUAUUUGUGUAUAAAGUUAUUAAUAUAAAAUUUACGUCUAAAUCCGAUUCAAUACACUGUUUUAAAAUUGCACGACAUACAAGGCUGGUAUGUGGAGAAGAAGAGCCUACAUGGAAAAAAUAAAUAGAAAAACAAGAGAAUAGGAAAAAAAGAGAAAUAACGAGAAAGGUAAAAAAUUGAAAAUUA